CACGUAGGGGCCAAGCGUUGUCCGGAUUUAUUGGGCGUAAAGAGCUCGUAGGCGGUUCGACAAGUCGGGUGUGAAAACUUGGGGCUCAACCCCAAGCUUGCAGGCGAUACGGGCAGACUAGAGUACUUCAGGGGAGACUGGAAUUCCUGGUGUAGCGGUGAAAUGCGCAGAUAUCAGGAGGAACACCGGUGGCGAAGGCGGGUCUCUGGGAAGUAACUGACGCUGAGAAGCGAAAGCGUGGGUAGCGAACAGG
Molecule: ribosomal RNA, 253 nt
Filed under: uncultured bacterium
Lineage: Bacteria
Description: partial 16S ribosomal RNA
Rfam family: Bacterial small subunit ribosomal RNA
Source: RNAcentral